CGGAGGAAGAUAUCCGAGCCGUACUCUUCAAACUGGACGGCUCAGAUCGGCUAUUCGGAACCGGGAGUUAAAACCCAAAAUUCGGUUAUUCGGGUUCAGACUUCGGGUAUCGAUUUUUUGUGACCAGGCUGACUUCCAGAAACGCCCAAGAGGCUACAGAGCCGCUACAGAGCCUACAGUCAGUUCCCAGACCAAUCUCCGACUGGAACAACCAAAUCACCUCGAAAUGCCUCGAUGGCGGUUCCGAUCCGGCGACCUCGCCUGCGCGCGCGAUGGCUAUCGCGGUGGCGACAGCAUCCGUGGGAGCAGCGGCCGUCGGGGUGGGAGACGGCGAGGCGGAGCUCGACUACCGGAAGCUUUCGGGGAUAAUAAUCCCCGGAUUCGCGUCGACGCAGCUGCGCGCGUGGUCGGUGCUGGACUGCCACUACUCCCCGUUCGACUUCAACCAAGCUCUUCUCUGCUGUAAAUUGCUGGCUUAAAUGCAUGCUACUUGACCCUUAUAACCAGACUGACCAUCCAGAAUGCAAGUCAAGGCCUGAUAGCGGUCUUUCUGUAAUUACCGAGUUGGACCUUGGAUAUAUAACAGGUAGACUAUAUACCUUAGCUAUUUUUUCCAGUAUUAAUUUUCUUAUACUAAUGGAAGAAAAUGAAGGAAAUAUGUUCUUUUUCUUUGUAA
Molecule: long non-coding RNA, 676 nt
Organism: Brachypodium distachyon (stiff brome)
Lineage: Eukaryota; Viridiplantae; Streptophyta; Magnoliopsida; Poales; Poaceae
Exons: 2
Source: RefSeq, a predicted model, not a curated record